AUCAAUGAUACUGGAAAUAUUGUCUCUCUUUCAUGUGUUAGUCGCAUUAUCAGCUGGAGGGCGGCUGUCCCUAAAACAACAACAGCAGCAAUGCACUCUGCAGACAUUUAACCAAUGUUUAGCUUCCCUACAAAGCGUGACCCAGGCAAAUGACCUGAACUUUAUCACCUCUAAAGUCAAGCUAGAUGUCGCUUGUCGAAGAGAAGGAUGGGAAAAAAAUCCCGACAGGCUAAAACCAUAAAGAUCAAAACUGGGUGGCCAACGGAAAGUUUCGAA
Molecule: long non-coding RNA, 276 nt
Organism: Limulus polyphemus (Atlantic horseshoe crab)
Lineage: Eukaryota; Metazoa; Arthropoda; Merostomata; Xiphosura; Limulidae
Exons: 3
Source: RefSeq, a predicted model, not a curated record